This 167-nucleotide ribosomal RNA is filed under the name uncultured bacterium. Its description in RNAcentral is "partial 16S ribosomal RNA". It matches the Rfam family "Bacterial small subunit ribosomal RNA", at positions 349 to 507 of the family's 1533-position model. The record is from RNAcentral.
CAGCAGUAGGGAAUCUUCGGCAAUGGACGGAAGUCUGACCGAGCAACGCCGCGUGAGUGAAGAAGGUCUUCGGAUUGUAAAGCUCUGUUAUCAGGGAAGAACGGAUACAGGAGGAAAUGCCUGUAUAUUGACGGUACCUGAUCUAGAAAGCCACGGCUAACUACGUG